Molecule: long non-coding RNA, 2350 nt
Organism: Acipenser ruthenus (sterlet)
Lineage: Eukaryota; Metazoa; Chordata; Actinopteri; Acipenseriformes; Acipenseridae
Exons: 6
Source: RefSeq, a predicted model, not a curated record
AGUUAAGUGUGUAAAUUACCAGUGAACAAGAGUAUAAAGCUGGAAGAGAGGGAAGACAGGAGGAGAGUGGUUCAAAGCUGGAAGGGCUUGCUAACAAAGGCUUUGUCCAUGUGUAACCAGCAGAUGCUUAUUUUAUUUGUUGCAAGGGCGUAAGUAAAAUCUAUAUUGCCUCUUUAGUAUUGGGUUGUUAGAAUGUCAUUAUGUGAAGCACUUUAAUGGUACACUUCUGAAAUCCAGUCCAAUGCAAUUGAUGGGAGUAAUCAGUGGCUACAGGGGUUUGCCUCUUCAGUUAGCUCCCCUUGAUUUUAACCAGGUGCGCUGUUUUGUUAAUUGCUGUAUUGGUUUGUUUUUUUUAUUUAAUUCUUACAUUGUACUGCUGUGUUCAUUUUACUUUUUGAAAGUACCUGUUUGUCCUUGUUAAUCAUCAUUAAUAGAGUUAAUCUGCUUGUUAUUUCUCCCCUAUUUAAUCGUGUCUGAGAGAGAGAGGAACAGCAAGGAUGGGCUGAAGCAGAGCUUGUAGUGUCUGUGUUAAGAAAGUGAGAAUAUGCAUUCUUUUGCUUUUGGGCAGAAGGCUGAAGUGAGUGUCUGGGGGUUUGCACUACGCCUUCAAGAACGUUGUCAACAAAUGAUGGCCCGAGAAGUGAGGAGCAUACGACAUGAGGAUAUUCUGGAAUAAGAGAGGUGCUAGGAAUCGACCCUGAGAAGAGGAUCAAUGAAAUCUUAAGUCUGAGUUGAGAAUGGAAUUAACUAAAGAUUUGGAAGAAAAGAUUGCUGGGAUGCAGGAGGUACUUCUUAAUUGCUGUCGGAGAAGUGGCCCUGGAGGGAGAGGUUAUGAAACCCUGGUGGAGCCAAUGGACAUGGGGACGGGACUUCUUGUGGCUCGGACCUUAGUUGCUGUUCGCAACGGGAAGAUGCAGCAUUGCAUGAAACUGAAGCUUGCCAAGUGCUGCUUGUUACAGAAACGAGUACAGAAUUUAGGUCAUGUGAUUUCAGAACACGGUGUCUCUCCGGAUCCAGAAAAGACACCAGCAGUACAGGAAUGGAAGACUCCCACAGCUCUCAAAGAAUUGCGCUCCUUCUUUGGUUUCAUGGGAUAUUACCAAUGAUUUAUUCAGGACUUUUCCAAAAUCACUGUGCCUUUACAUCAGCUGCUUGGCGGGACCUCCCUCAAGGGAUCCGGUAGAAGACCUGCUUCAAUGCCAGUCACCAGGGGUUGGGGGCUGUCUUAGCCCAAGUGCAAGAUGGCCAAGAAAACGUAAUUGCCUGUGCAAGCUGGAGUCUUCAAGCAGCUGAGCGAAAUGACUCUAUAGUUCUUUUACGUUGGCGUUAUUGGCGUUGAAGUGGGCGAUCACCGAGAAAUUCCACGAGUACCUGUUUCAGGUCCCAGUUUACGGUCUUCACGGAUAACAAUCCACUUGUACACCUGCAGAAGGCUCACUUAGGAAGAAAGAAACAGCGCUGGGCAACACACUUAGCUGUUUAUCACUUUCAGGUGAAAUAUCAUCCCGGCCGCGCUAAUGAGAAUGCUGAUGCCUUGUCCCGUAUGCUAUUGAGUGAGGCUGGAGUUGAAGAGGAUAGGGAGGCUUUGGAAGUGCUUGCUUUCAAGGAUGUCCGGAUGGAGGUGGUGCAGGUACUUGUAGUCAUGUUAUUUCUCAUCUGCAACUUGUACAAAAUACUGCUGCUAGAGUUUUAACAGGGACUAAGACAAGAACACAUUACUCCCAUAUUAGCAUCUUUGCACUGGCUUCCUGUCUAGUUUAGGAUAGAUUAAGGUGCUGCUCUUAACCUAUAAAGCUUUAAAUGGCCUUGCUCCAUCUUAUUUAAAUGAUCUUCUAGCCCCAUAUGUUCCUAAAUGCUCACUCCGAUCACAGGAUGCCUUGCUUACUUAAUAUUCCCAAAAUUCAGAAAACAACACAGGUACUAGAGCAUUGAGCUAAAUUAUUAAAUGUCCUGCCUAGCCCUGUAAGGAAAGCUCCCAGUGUCUGCUGCCUUUAAAAAUAGACUAAAAACUAAUUUUCCACUUCUAGCUUAUAUAUCUUUAAAUGUUUUCUUACCCUUUCUUGCUUGUUUUACUGUUUUAAUGAUUUUUUUUUUAGUUUGUAUUCUGUUAAUUUUUACUGCGUAUUGUUACUUUUUGUAAUAUGUAUUCAUGUUUUUAUCCUUGUAAAGCUCUAUAUAAAAAUAAAGAUGAAUCAGAAACUAUUAUUUUACAAAAAUAAAUGAUAAUUAUUAUUUUAAAUUCUAGAAAUAAUUUCUACCACAUCAGGUUUUACUAGGCAUUAAGGACAGUGUUUCAGAAUGAUAUUCAUUACGUGAAUGGCUGGUAAUGCACAGCAUGGACGAACCUGUA